Molecule: ribosomal RNA, 253 nt
Filed under: uncultured prokaryote
Description: partial 16S ribosomal RNA
Rfam family: Bacterial small subunit ribosomal RNA
Source: RNAcentral
AUACGUAGGGUCCGAGCGUUGUCCGGAAUUAUUGGGCGUAAAGAGCUCGUAGGCGGUUUGUCGCGUCUGCUGUGAAAUCCCGAGGCUCAACCUCGGGUCUGCAGUGGGUACGGGCAGGCUGGAGUGCGGUAGGGGAGAAUGGAAUUCCUGGUGUAGCGGUGGAAUGCGCAGAUAUCAGGAGGAACACCGAUGGCGAAGGCAGUUCUCUGGGCCGUAACUGACGCUGAGGAGCGAAAGCGUGGGGAGCGAACAG